AGUAAUCGCGGAUCAGCAUGCCGCGGUGAAUACGUUCCCGGGCCUUGUACACACCGCCCGUCACACCACGAGAGUUUGUAACACCCGAAGUCGGUGAGGUAACCUUUUGGAGCCAGCCGCCGAAGGUGGGACAGAUGAUUGGGGUGAAGUCGUAACAAGGUAGCCGUAUCGGAAGGUGCGGCUGGAUCACCUCCUUU
RNAcentral lists this ribosomal RNA (197 nucleotides) under Salmonella enterica subsp. enterica serovar Derby. RNAcentral's name for it is "partial 16S ribosomal RNA". It matches the Rfam family "Bacterial small subunit ribosomal RNA", at positions 1337 to 1533 of the family's 1533-position model. The record is from RNAcentral. Lineage: Bacteria; Pseudomonadati; Pseudomonadota; Gammaproteobacteria; Enterobacterales; Enterobacteriaceae.